GUGCUCACUUUGGCAGCACAUAUACUAAAAUUGGAACAAUACAGAGAAGAUUAGCACGGCCGCUGCACAAGGAUGACACGCAAAUUCGUGAAGCGUUCCACAUUUUC
Small nuclear RNA from Cebus imitator (Panamanian white-faced capuchin), 107 nucleotides. Lineage: Eukaryota; Metazoa; Chordata; Mammalia; Primates; Cebidae. The record is from Ensembl.